This 403-nucleotide ribosomal RNA is filed under the name uncultured bacterium. RNAcentral describes it as "partial 16S ribosomal RNA". It matches the Rfam family "Bacterial small subunit ribosomal RNA", at positions 28 to 526 of the family's 1533-position model. The record is from RNAcentral.
GACGAACGCUGGCGGCGUGCCUAAUACAUGCAAGUCGAACGCAGUGGGGACGGGUGAGUAACCCGUGGGUAACCUCCCAUCAGAGGUGAUAACACUUGGAAACAGGUGCUAAACCGCUACUGAUGGAUGGUCCCGCGGUGCAUUAGCUAGUUGGUGAGGUAACGGCGCACACAGGCCACGAUGCAUAGCAGACCUGGAAGGGUGAUCGGCCACACGGGGACGGAGACACGGCCCAGACUCCUACGGGAGGCAGCAGGAGGGAAUCGUAGGAAAUGGACGAAAGUCUGACCGAGCAACGCCGCGUGAGUGAAGAAGGUUUUCGGAUCGUAAAACUCUGUUGUUAGAGAAGCGGUAUCUAACCAGAAAGCCACGGCUAACUACGUGCCAGCCGCCGCGGUAAUUC